This 450-nucleotide ribosomal RNA is filed under the name uncultured bacterium. RNAcentral's name for it is "bacterial SSU rRNA". It matches the Rfam family "Bacterial small subunit ribosomal RNA", at positions 28 to 478 of the family's 1533-position model. The record is from RNAcentral.
GAUGAACGCUGGCGGCGUGCUUAACACAUGCAAGUCGAGCGAAGCACUUAAGUUUGAUUCUUCGGAUGAAGACUUUUGUGACUGAGCGGCGGACGGGUGAGUAACGCGUGGGUAACCUGCCUCAUACAGGGGGAUAACAGUUAGAAAUGACUGCUAAUACCGCAUAAGACCACAAGGUCGCAUGACCCGGUGGUAAAAACUCCGGUGGUAUGAGAUGGACCCGCGUCUGAUUAGCUAGUUGGUGGGGUAACGGCUCACCAAGGCGACGAUCAGUAGCCGACCUGAGAGGGUGACCGGCCACAUUGGGACUGAGACACGGCCCAAACUCCUACGGGAGGCAGCAGUGGGGAAUAUUGCACAAUGGGGGAAACCCUGAUGCAGCGACGCCGCGUGAAGGAUGAAGUAUUUCGGUAUGUAAACUUCUAUCAGCAGGGAAGAAAAUGACGGUAC